This 433-nucleotide ribosomal RNA is filed under the name uncultured bacterium. RNAcentral describes it as "partial 16S ribosomal RNA". It matches the Rfam family "Bacterial small subunit ribosomal RNA", at positions 29 to 507 of the family's 1533-position model. The record is from RNAcentral.
AACGAACGCUGGCGGCAUGCCUAACACAUGCAAGUCGAACGAGACCUUCGGGUCUAGUGGCGCACGGGUGCGUAACGCGUGGGAACCUGCCCUUAAGUUCGGAAUAACUCCCCGAAAGGGGUGCUAAUACCGGAUAAUGUCUUCGGACCAAAGAUUUAUCGCCUUUGGAUGGGCCCGCGUUGGAUUAGCUAGUUGGUAGGGUAAAAGCCUACCAAGGCGACGAUCCAUAGCUGGUCUGAGAGGAUGAUCAGCCACACUGGGACUGGGACACGGCCCAGACUCCUACGGGAGGCAGCAGUGGGGAAUAUUGGACAAUGGGCGAAAGCCUGAUCCAGCAAUGCCGCGUGAGUGAUGAAGGCCUUAGGGUUGUAAAGCUCUUUUACCCGGGAUGAUAAUGACAGUACCGGGAGAAUAAGCUCCGGCUAACUCCGUG